UUUUUACCAGUGGUACAUGUAUAUAUAUAUGUACUACUAUAUUAUAAAACACUGCUGAUUAUGAUUGGUGGAGAAUUUCAAAAGGACAAUGAAUUGCAUGUACUUCCAUUUAAAACUUUUGGACAAUUUGUUAUAAAUGACUACAUGUGCAACAGAGUAGAUUGUUUAUCAAUAUAACUAAACAAUAAAUGAAUUUCAUGCUAGAUUUGUUGUUACUUUUACUGCUAAAUCCUUCAAUAAAAAGAUUUGAUCAUUCAUCAGUUCUUUUCCUUGAUCUUUCAUCCAUGAAAAUCUGACACAUGAUCAAACCCAUGGGGUAUAUUUGAAUUACAAGAAAUGAAAAAAAAAACAUAUCCCUAUUAAAGAAAAACAUGUUUUGAAUGUGUGUUUUUAAAAACGAAAUAAAUAGCAACAUUGAGACAGAGCUAGAUUUGUAUGAUUUUUGGGAUGUAUGGAUCUUAAGUCCUAGCUGUAGAUCAGGUUUCCUUCAUUGUCAGAACCUUAUAAAUAAUAUGCUAAAGGAUGCAGGACUGUGCUGCUGCAUUUCAAGAAUGGAAUGUGCAGCUACCUGAUAUCUCAAGUGUGCUUUCUAUAUAUAUAUAUAUAUCUUAUUUAAAAAGCGAAGUUCUCAUGUGUGAAAAUUACUUGUCUUUCUCAUGUGUGAAAAUUACUUAUCUUUCAUGAGCCUGCACCCCUUAAUGAGACCUGAUACACAGUAUCCUAUAACCAAAAAUGUUCUUUGGGCAAUAAACUCAUGCCACUUGACAAGUAAUAAUGAAAUGAUACAACCAAUUUAAAGAUAUAGGUAUCCUUGUUCAGUUGCUUGUAUUCAAGAAAAAAAUCUUUCAAAAAUUUCUGAUUUGGCAAUAGUCAUGAUAAUAGAAGAUACAAAUGGUGUACAUAUAUCUAAAUCAUAAACCAACUGAUAAUAUGUUAAACUUUGUGUAAUUCACAAUGGGAAAUAUCUGUACAUCACACACAAUUAAGUAACUAGGAAACUGACUCCGUCAGGAAGGGGUCACACAGAGAUUGCAUGGACUAGUACUUAAAUGACACAGAAUUCAUUGAUGUUUGUAAUUCUGAAAGUAGUAAUUGUGUUUUCCAUGCUUAACUGCAAGAUCAACUAUCUUUGUAUAAAAUAUGAAAGCUGUAUGUGUAGUAAACUUAGGUGUUUUCCUGCCUUGGUAUAAAAUAUGAAAAUUGUUCAAGAUUUUGAGUCACAGCAAAAGUAAUUAUGUACAAACAGACAAGCAGACACCCAUGAUCUAUAGCUGUCUUCCUUUACUAAACAAUUACCUUUUUAUAGAAUAUGAAAGCAAUCGCAAUUGUUUGAAAAUAAAGCAAACGGAGGAAAUUAAGUAUCAGCUAGCUUGUGUUCAUUCCGAAUAGGGGUGCAGAAACAUUACUUCUCAUUUUACUUUUCUCGAAGAUCUGACUCAAAAAGAUUCAUGAAAUUUUCAUGGUACUCAAGCUGCUCCUAUAAACUACGAGUCCGUGAAUCGCCUUGAAAAAUCCCUGGCGACAACCCUGGCAAUAUUUAUGCAAAUAGAAUAUUUCUAGUAUCGACAUUAUUUCUAGUGUUUAGUAGAUACACUGUAAUAGUUAUGUAAGAUAUAAGUGAAAUUUUCAUUAUUAGAGAUCUAUAUAAUAUUUUGAUAGACUGUACUGUAUGUUAUCUCGACAGAACCUGAUCAGACAGGAAAUUUAGAAAUUCUGAGAUCUUCAUAUCUGAGCUGGGUGUUAUAACUUAUACUACUGGUAUUUUGUUUUCAAAGUGUUAUUAAAAAUGCCUAGCUAACUGAUCAAUAUACCAUAUUAACAAGAGUACUACAAACGGUACAAUAUACACCUGUUGGACAGUCACUCGGAAAUUCAACCUGGAAGCAUAUUAUGCACUCUGAAUUGAUACAACACACAUUCUGAAUAGAAAAGCCUUAUCGAUCAUGGUGCGCACCAAUCCAUCUGACAUGUGAACUAUAAUUAUGUAUUUCUCUGAGAAAAUGUUGGUGCAAUAUCUACAGAGUUGGCAAAAGACGCUGGACUACCGGAUAUCUCCAGUAAAUUUUCAUUUUGUUCGGUAAAACUUCGAAACUCAUCUGACAAACUGUCUGGUAGAUAUUCGCAGACAAAAAAGGGAUCAUAUCUGCGUUGUUUAUUGGCUUUAGGGCAAACAAAAACUCCGUCUGAUGUAGAUAACUUGCUUUUGUACAACAAAUGUGCUUUCCCAGAAAUGGUGCGUGUACUUUCAAUAUCACGCAUGUCAUUUUACUUCCGAUUGUGUGGCCAAUCACAUGGUUGAAAAAUCGUAGUUCAGAUGUCAAAAAGAAAGUUGAAUGUGUAAACACAGGUGCUUGAACAGUAUGUCAACAUGAUCGCAUAUCUUCCUCUCCUUUAGUUUACAACAAAUUUCUUAGAAUAAAUAUUAUAUUCACUUCCGAGGUGACAGUUUCAAUUUUCGUCAGUUACAAAUAAUGAAAAUUUAUAUGUAAUAGAUCACGCAAAUAUUGGCCAGCUUUGUGCUGCGCAGUUUGAAGAAAUUUUAUUGUAAGGUUGAGUGAGUAAACAACUACACCACAUAAUAAUUUUCUUUAUUAGUACUGUAUGGAGUUUUCCAAGGGGUAAAAUCUACUUUCAUUUUCAAAGUCUCUGACCUUGUCUACUUUUACAAUAUAUCCAAGAUGCUAGAAAUGGCAAGUUUUAUGUUUCAUGGUGAAUGUCAGGGCUUCAUCUCUUCCACUGGCAGCCAAAAAGGAGGUCACAGAGUAUGAAUUUAUAACGUGUCGUGUGAUUGGUCUGCGAAUAAUCCCGAGACCAUACAAAUGAUCCCAAGAUUAAGCAAUGUCUUUGCGAACCAAUCACACGGUGCGUACAACAAAUUUGUAAAAGAAAUGAGAUGGGUUUUGAGUUGACGAGACUUGUAGUAUGACAUCUUCCUGACCUGCCGCUCGCCAAAAUUCCUUAGGUAAUGCUGCAAUUACUUGGAAAAUGUGUCCCGAAAUAGGGACCCCCUGUUUGUUUUCAAAAUUUUGUUUCAUACCUUGUACAUGUAUAUUUUAUUAUACCAGUAGAAGGCCAAUCUCUACAGCUUACAUAAAGCGUGAAACGAUUACAUGAAUCGAAAGAGGGGUGAGAUAGACCAGGAAUUCACACAUUUCAGAGAAAUUAUUGCCACCACCAAAAAUUAUUAAAAGGGGGGGGGGGGUAGUAAUAUCCAUACUUCAGGUGCCUGUGUGUUUUAAAGCACGAUGUCUAACUGGCCGAUUAAAUGGUUCACUACAGCCUGCUAAUAAAAAUAUCUCAAAUAAUGGAAAUAAAAAACUGGAUAAGACACAUCGUCAGAAACCCACGGUUGAUUACGUUUGAACGCUUCGUUCCUCUCUCUGUCACCCGUGAGUCCAUUCAUUCCUACUCGCUUGUUCUCAUGAAUAAUUAAUGAGGCAAUCUGAUUGGGCGCUCAUAGUAUACCCUGAGCGAAUUUGUCCAAUCAACAAAACGCUUUCAGCCUAAUUUCGGUAUACAAUUCAGGGGUCGAAAUUAAAAUCCACAGGCUAAAAUGAAAACCUACAAGCUAAAAUAAAAAUAAUGAAGCAGUGCUCUUUUUUCAUAUGUUUAUUAUUUUCCCCAUCAUUACUGAGCCUAGUGGGUCAACAGGCAUCGUUUGGACAAGACACUAAGUUACGUAAGUCAUAUGGUGCAAUGUUUAGGUCUCUUGAUUAUGGUACCUCUAAUCCACAACCUAUUUACCGCAGGUAUAAAUCCAGUCUUCCAAUUUCAUGCCACAUCAGGGUUGUCACUAGCGAUUUUUCAAAGCGAAUCCCGGACUCGUGGUUUUAUAAGCAGCACGAUCACGAGCCCCAUGAACUUUUUUGAUGAUCGUCUACGCACCGAGCAGUGCACUCAUGUCAUCACUACAACCCGACCUCAAUAUGACAAUAAAUUAAUUUAGAUAGGACAUUCUCAUGAUUCUGAUAAAAAUAACUACCGGAAGACUUGGUAAAACAUAGACUACAAUUUUUUAAAAAGAUAAAUGAAAAACAAAAACCUCAUACUUGAAAUUCAAUUUAAUCACCCCUAUAGGUGAACAGGACUCGUGGCACAUGUCUAUAUUUUUCAUCAUAAUGCGAUGCACGAUGUCCGACCUCUAAAGCAUUUAUUUGACUCUGAUUUUCUUUAAAAAAUCAUAAAAGAAAAAUCCGGAUAGAAACGGUUGUUGAAAUCGGUCGUUCAUGUAAGUGUUUGUAUGAUUCAGAGUGCAAGUUUAAGAAAAGUGAAUAGUGCAUCAUCGUAUAAAACGGAUACGAUACGAAAAUAGUUUGUAAAUCACCAUUCGUUAAGAUUUUCGAGUGUCCACUAUUUUUACUCGCUAUUUUCCAAAUGUACUCGCAUUUUGCGAGUAUUUCUCGCUAAUUUCGAGCCCUGACAAUUGUUGUGAUAGCAAAGUUAAGAUAAUGCUACCUUUAAAAACAGAAGAGUUCCAUUACUAUAACAAUUACUUUGAUUGCACAAUAUUUUUAGAUAUUUUUUCAUGAGAACGAGCGAGUAGGAAUAAAUGGACCCAUGGGUGAUGCAGCUAGGCAACGAAAUUAAGGGGAAAUACUCGCUAAAUGCGAGUUAAAAAUUGAAUUUGCGAGUAAAAAAUCACAAGUGAUCACAACUUUUUGCGAGUGAAAAAACCCCGAUCUUUUUCCCAGAUUUCCUCGGUUUAUUGGCUGUACUUUGAAGUUUACAAUAAUUUUGUCUUGUGCAUAGAAACGCUUUACAGAAUGAAUAUACAAGUAUUGAAAAAGUAAACGUGGAUCGAAUAAAUAACUAAGGCCAAGGUCAUCUCAGUCAGUGAUGUCGAAGAUGGCCUACUUCAUACACACUUCGGACGUCUCAGAGACGUCUGAUUUAAACAGCAAACAUAUUGAUCUCAUCCGUGUCUACAUGAAACAACACAUGACAGUGUGUCACCGUUUCACGCGGUGUCCUUCUGUACUCUAUAGUCAAACACUUCGAGUUCGCGGGAUUUUCUAUUCAACUAGAAAUUUUUUAGAUGAAAUUUCCAAAAGUUUUGAACAUAUAGUUUGAAUUGGCGCAAACAGUCUUCAAGAUUUCAAUCCACAUGAUGCUGUAAAUAGGUGGUAGAUCUCUGGACAGCGAGUACGCCGCACAAGUGUACCCUAUGACCCGCACCAUGUAUGUUGUCUGAUAAUUCAUUGAAUUUUAAAUGAAAGAAUUCACAAUGUUAUUUUUAUUAUUGCACUUUAAAGGAGAUUUUAAAAGAUUUUCCCAAAAUUUUGAGAAAGAGACAUGCUUGUUUUCUUAAAUUCAUGUAAAACAGUAAUCGAUUGAAAAAUGCUAGUAAAAGCUCAAUUUUGCUAGUUGGAAAAUAAUCCACUAGCUAAAAUUUGCUAGUGGUGAAAAAAGUUAAUUUCGAUCCCUGUGAUGGAGAGAGGAACAAAGCUUAAUCAACUGUGGGUUUCCGACAAUGGAUAAGACAAGGGCAUAUAUGAAAAAGAAAAGUGGUCAAAGCAUGUGCUUUUCAGCAACAGUGGAGAGAGGGCUGGGUCUAAACUGGUUUUUGAAAGAAAAUAUGAAUAUUAACAAUAAAGAUGUUAACAUUUGUGAUUCUCAAUUCAUUUAAUAUGAUUCAUAAACUGUGUGGGGUUUUCCUGGAUCCUACUAGAAAUGUAUGAGUCCUGCAAAACUUUUCUCCUAUCAGGGCCUAUCAUACAUGCCAACUUUCCCGAUUUAGGCGGGAUCUUCCCGAUUUUACCCUCCGGUCCCGCUUUCCCGAUCGGGAAAGCAAAAUUACCCUAAAAUCCCGAUUUGAAAUUUUUUCCGACCAAAAUUUCCGAUUUCACGAUUGAAAACGAGUUUGAAAGCAGGAUAAUCGUGAAAUCUCGUGACCAGAAUUGGAAAUCCCGCGUCAUUUCUGAACUGGCCAAUCAGAAAUCGGGACAAUAGUCAGCCAUUGCUGUUUACCUGUGUCGCAUGGUGUCGGGUUGGUCUGCCUGUGUCGGGGUGUUUGUUGGACAGUACGAAGCAUGUUUUGAUAGUAAUUAAUCGGGAAGACGGAUUUCAAAUUGACCUAUCCUUUACACAAACGUGAAUGACAACGAUGAUAGUGUCACCACCAAACAAUCGGACAUUCCGCCUCUCGCUGACAGCAUCCAAAAUUUGCAAUAAGAUGUCAUGGGUGCAAAGGUUUUGUUCGCAAACUUCAUAGCAGGGCAGAUCACUCCUUUUUUGGUUGCAAUGCAGAUUAUUCCACCAGUCUCUGCAAGCCCAUGUUUAGAGACAAGCAAGAUCGCCUUUGCAGUCGUACCUAAAUGCAUGUGCUUUAAUUUAAAUUUUGAUAUAUAGACCGGCCAAUGUUUAUUGUAUGGUGUAAAAGGAUGCAACCUUAAAUAUUAUUUGAUAUUAUGUAUGUGACUUGUUGGAGAAGAUUUUUUGCUGAAUAGAUGAUUUUAACAAAAUAUUAAUGUAUAUC
Ostrea edulis (European flat oyster) is the source of this 6475-nucleotide long non-coding RNA. RefSeq lists it as uncharacterized. The transcript has 2 exons. Lineage: Eukaryota; Metazoa; Mollusca; Bivalvia; Ostreida; Ostreidae. The record is from RefSeq and is a predicted model, not a curated record.